RNAcentral lists this ribosomal RNA (439 nucleotides) under uncultured bacterium. RNAcentral's name for it is "partial 16S ribosomal RNA". It matches the Rfam family "Bacterial small subunit ribosomal RNA", at positions 338 to 795 of the family's 1533-position model. The record is from RNAcentral.
CCUACGGGAGGCAGCAGUGGGGGAUAUUGCACAAUGGGGGAACCCUGAUUCAGCGACGCCGCGGGGGUGAAGAAGCGCCUCGGCGCGUAAAGCCCUUUCAGCAGGGAAGAAAAUGACGGUACCUGAAGAAGAAGCCCCGGCUAACUACGUGUCAGCAGCCGCGGGAAUACGUAGGGGGCAAGCGUUAUCCGGAUUUACUGGAUGUAAAGGGGGCGCAGACGGCGGUGCAAGCCAGGAGUGAAAGCCCGGGGCCCAACCCCGGGACUGAUCUUGGAACUGCGUGGCUGGAGUGCAGGAGGGGCAGGUGGAAUUCCUGGUGUAGCGGUGAAAUGCGUAGAUAGCAGGAGGAACACCGGUGGCGAAGGCGGCCUGCUGGACUGCAACUGACGUUGAGGCCCGAAAGCGUGGGGAGCAAACAGGAUUAGAUACCCGGGUAGUC